RNAcentral lists this long non-coding RNA (1514 nucleotides) under Heterocephalus glaber (naked mole-rat). RNAcentral's name for it is "lncRNA (ENSHGLG00000033491.1)". Lineage: Eukaryota; Metazoa; Chordata; Mammalia; Rodentia; Bathyergidae. The record is from RNAcentral.
GCGUGCACCACGCCGUCCCCUGCGCCCCGACUCCUGAAGUCACGGGUGACCGGCGGGGCCAGCGGCUCCCAGACUGCGAUGCCGAAUGGAAACUGUGCUUACUGGGCCAGAGAUUUAGCUCCGUGGUUCCACCGCCUGCCUCGAAAGCACAAGGUCCCGAGUUCGAUCCCGGUAACAACAACAACAACAAAAAGUCUGUUUUUAGCAGAAGCGACUUAGCCGCAAAAACAAAAAGGCGAGCCCUGCGCCCCAGUAACCUCCUCCAAAUGAAUGGUUGUGUUUUCCUAGACGCUUCCCCCGCAGCCCGGCCUCUGGCCCCUUUACUGAAGGGCACCUGCACCGGCAGUGGGAGCUAGUACCGGCAGCCAGCCCUCACCUGAACCUGGGCCCGGCCCCCUGGAGAGCUGCUGCAGUCAUGAGAUGAGCAGGAGACCGACGAGCCAACGCCGUGCACCCGGCCGACUAUGGGGCCGUGCAGAACAGUUUAUUUUUGUCCCUUGCUGUUGUAGAUUUUUAAACUCUUCUGACUUAGGAAGUUCUGCCUCUGGCCCCUCGUCUGUGGCGCUGCCUGUGUAAUUGGAAGGCCGGGCCGGGAGGGCGGGCCGCGCACCUGGCAGUGUACUCUUUGGGUCCCUUCGGGCGUCUCUGGAAUUACUGCCGCACCACAGUCCCCCACAGACUUACUGUUGCCCUUUAGUCCGAGGUUUGCCGCCCUUCUCUCCACAUUUUCUGCAGUGUUUUCCCGUGUACUCGUCUGGGAGCAUAGUGGGCUGUGUGGACAGCCUGGGGUGAAUGUGAGCCGUGGGUUUACCUAGGACAGCUGUUGUCUAACAGUGUGAGAGGCCUUUCCACCCCCCCCACCCCCCCAAAAUCGGGAUUGAACCUAAGGCUUUGCAUGGAGCUACAUCCCCAGUCCUUUUUUUAUUUUUGAGACAGGAUCUCACUGCAUUGCCCAGGCUGGACUGGAACUUGUGAUCCUCCCGCCUCAGCCUCCUACAGCACAGCGCAGGAUUGCAGGUUUGCACCACCACACCCAGUUACACUGGUUUGUUUCUUUUGUUUCUUUUUCUUUUUUUUUUUUUUUUGAUACUGGGGAUCAAACUCGGGAGCUUGUGCUUGUGAGGCAGGUCCCAGAACCACUGAGCUAAAUCCCUGGCCAACUGGUUUGUUUCUUUGUUUUGGUACCGGGGGUCGAACUCAGGUCCUUGCAGCGGAACCACUGAGCUAAAUCCCCAGCCUCCCUGGUUUUUGUUGUUGUUGUUGUUGUUGUUUUGGAGACAGGAUUUCACUAUAUAUCCCAAGGUGGCUUGGAACUCAGUGAUCCUCCUGCCUCAGCUUCCCAAGUGUUGGAAUUACAGGCGUGGGCCACCACACUCAAUUAUGAACACUGAACAUGGGAAUGGGAGGGCAGCUCAGUGGUACAACACCUGCAUACUGUGCAAAGGCCCUGGGUUUAAUCCACAUCACCACCAAAAAUUAAUAAAAUUAUAUGUAUAUAUAUAUAUAUAUAUAUA